CCGCAGUCUCAAGCUGCCUGCUUCCCUGGGCUCAGUUAACAACAAUGCAGGGAUGGCAGGAGAGGGCAACCUGUACGCAGAACAGGCACCCAAAUCUCUUUCUGGUGAGAGCUUCUGGGGUCCCUGCAGGACAGAUGAUCUGGAGGGCAGGAGGGACACGUGCUGAGAUGCCACAUGGGAGAAUAGGGGAUGCAGAGGCUGAGCCCUCUCUCCCAACCCAUUAGAGAGACUUCAGAUGAUGAAGAUGAAGAAACUCUCACAACAGGAUUGAUGUGGAGGUCAGCUAAGCCAGGUGUCCAGAAUGUGUUCACAGACCUGGCCUCUUGGGAAUGCCCCAGACCUGGAAUUCUCCGUGGCUUGCCUAGAUGCCCUGACUGUGCUAUAACGUGAGAGUGGCAGGGAGGUUUUAGAGUUACAUUUAUAUGGAUAUCAGCCUACUCUACUAAGUCAAUGAAAAACUACCACUGAAAACCAUGGCCUUGUGAAGAAAAUAACGAUGACUUGUUUGCCUAGCCUUUGUUCUAUUUAAUUUAUUUUCACAGAACAAUGCCUCCAGAUCAGCUUUUGAAAACUCACCUGCAAAUUGACAUGACUGUUUACCUGUUUGAAUUUGGGUGGACAAUCAUGGACAUUCCAAAUUGAGACCCACAAGGGUUUAUGACUACAUUGUCAAUGAGUGAUGAGCCUGCUGGAAAUAAUAGGACUGAUUCAGGACCAGUGAAAGAAGAUACACAAACCCAAGACGUGCAUUUUCAGAAGGAACGCUUAUGUCACUCAACAAACAUUUGUUGAGUUUUCACUAGGUGUUAGGUGCUGUGCUAGUUAGAGAUGCUGACCCUACCCAAGACAAUGAAGAUCUCAUUUUCUCAGUCCAAUUGAUGAAAAGUUAAACAUCAGCUCUAGAAAUCAAGACUGAGAAGAUGAGUUCAUGUAACUGUCCCUAGAUGAAUUCUUAUCUUCUUGGUCAGUAAGGCAGGGUCCUUGAAGCUAAAAGAUACAUUUUUUUUUUUUUUGAGAUGGAGUGUCACUAUUGUUGCCCAGGCUGGAGUGCAGUGGCGCGAUCUUGGCUCACUGCAAUCUCUGCUUCCCAGGUUCAAGCGAUUCUCCUGCCUCAGCCUCCUAAGUAGCUGGAAUUACAGGUGUCCGCCACCACGCCUGGCUAAUUUUGUAUUUUUAGUAAAGACAGGUUUCAUCAUGUUGGCCAGGCUGGUCUCGAACUCCUGACCUCAAGUGAUUCACCUGCGUCGGCCUCCCAAGUGCUGAGAUUACAGGUGUGAGCCACUGCUCCUGGCCCUAAAAGAAACACUUUUGAAAACAUUAAAUAGAACAGCACAGCACAUAGAAGAAAGGUGUGGAAGAUAUUCGAGGGAUAAUAACUUGCAGUGAUCUCAUCUCAAUGAUGCCCACACAUCAGUGACCACCUUUCAGCUCCACUACCUUUGGAUUAUGUACACGAGAAGAAGUCAGCACAGCAGUGAUUUGAAGUGUCUUCCUCUAACAUACAGAAUGUUUUUUCUUUGCCUCAAAAUCAUCUAAGAGCUGAGGUCAUCUACCACCUGUGGGGCUUGAAAUACCAAAAUGAAAAAACUUCCCCAGGAAUGAGCACCAAACAAAAUUUGCUGGGUAGCAGAAAGGUAAUGAUCUCUGAUAAGGAAAAGCACUAACAGGGAACUGGGUCUCCACACUUCGUAAACUGCCCAAGAAGUCUUCCAUCCUCCCUUGCUUUCCCACUGGGUGAAUUCCUCAGAAGAAGCAACUUCAGAAUGUCACUGCUUGCUGUCUGAGCUGUGCCACAAUGCCUCUGAAUUAGCCUGAGAAGCCUUGGUCAGGAAAAGCAAAGAAAUCAGAAUUGCAGGAUAAGGCUUCUCCCAAAAGACUCUCAAGAAGUGUCCUUUCUAUCUGUACAGAUCAGAGUGUUUGGACACUGUGCAGAAGUCUCAUGAAAAAACAUGUAACUUUAUCCUGAAGACAUCUCAGCUUCCCUUUUUAUGUGGAUGAUCAAGGGUGUCUGCAAGUCUGGGAAAAAGGGAUAGAGGAGAAUUAACAGCCAAUACUCCAGGGCCUGGCUUACUGAUAGGGAAAUGGCUGUGAUGACAGAGGAAUCUGGGGAGGCAGGAGGAGCUUGACAGAAACAAAUGGAUGUCCCAAAUAGG
Molecule: long non-coding RNA, 2153 nt
Filed under: Homo sapiens (human)
Lineage: Eukaryota; Metazoa; Chordata; Mammalia; Primates; Hominidae
Description: HSALNT0086196
Source: RNAcentral